ACUCCUACGGGAGGCAGCAGUGGGGAAUAUUGGACAAUGGGCGAAAGCCUGAUCCAGCCAUGCCGCGUGUGUGAAGAAGGUCUUCGGAUUGUAAAGCACUUUAAGUUGGGAGGAAGGGCAGUAAGUUAAUACCUUGCUGUUUUGACGUUACCGACAGAAUAAGCACCGGCUAACUCUGUGCCAGCAGCCGCGGUAAUACAGAGGGUGCAAGCGUUAAUCGGAAUUACUGGGCGUAAAGCGCGCGUAGGUGGUUUGUUAAGUUGGAUGUGAAAGCCCCGGGGCUCAACCUGGGAACUGCAUCCAAAACUGGCAAGCUAGAGUACGGUAGAGGGUGGUGGAAUUUCCUGUGUAGCGGUGAAAUGCGUAGAUAUAGGAAGGAACACCAGUGGCGAAGGCGACCACCUGGACUGAUACUGACACUGAGGUGCGAAAGCGUGGGGAGCAAACAGGAUUAGA
This 456-nucleotide ribosomal RNA is filed under the name uncultured bacterium. RNAcentral describes it as "bacterial SSU rRNA". It matches the Rfam family "Bacterial small subunit ribosomal RNA", at positions 335 to 782 of the family's 1533-position model. The record is from RNAcentral.